Molecule: non-coding RNA, 21 nt
Filed under: Arabidopsis thaliana (thale cress)
Lineage: Eukaryota; Viridiplantae; Streptophyta; Magnoliopsida; Brassicales; Brassicaceae
Source: RNAcentral
UCUGGAACCGGUAUGAAUGGA